GACGAACGCUGGCGGCGUGCUUAACACAUGCAAGUCGAACGGACAGGCCCUGCGUUUGUUGGUUGCUCGAGUGGCGAACGCGUGUGUAACACGUGAGUAUCCUGUCCCUGACUUUGUGAUAACUUUAGGAAACUCGGGCUAAUACCGCGUAUGAGCUCCUGCUGCAUGUUGGGGGUUGGAAAGUGUCGGCGGUAGUGUCUGGUCUCGCUGCUUAUCAGCUUGUUGGUGGAGUAGUGGCUGACCAAGGCUUUGACGGGUAGCCGGCAUGAGAGGGUGACCGGCCACAAUGGGACUGAGAUACGGAGCAGACUGCUACGGGAGGCAGCAGGGGAGAAUAUUGCACAAUGGGCGGAAGCGUGAUGCAGCAACGCCGCGUGCGGGAUGACGGCCUUCGGGUUGUAAACCGCUUUCGCCUGUGACGAAGCGUGAGUGACGGUAAUGGGUAAAGAAGCACCGGCUAACUACGUG
This 468-nucleotide ribosomal RNA is filed under the name uncultured bacterium. Its description in RNAcentral is "partial 16S ribosomal RNA". It matches the Rfam family "Bacterial small subunit ribosomal RNA", at positions 28 to 507 of the family's 1533-position model. The record is from RNAcentral.